Molecule: unclassified non-coding RNA, 350 nt
Filed under: Hevea brasiliensis (rubber tree)
Lineage: Eukaryota; Viridiplantae; Streptophyta; Magnoliopsida; Malpighiales; Euphorbiaceae
Source: RNAcentral
AGAAAAGAAAAGAAGAGAAGAGAAUGUUGUCGUCCACAUUUUAGAGUCCAUUUAUGCGAAGAACAUUAGCAAAUUCUAAAACGAUGACAAUAAAACAAGAAAGAGAUCAAGUUUGACUAAUAAAUAAAAGACUAAAAUAUGACAAUGAACUGGAAUCAGUUUUAGUAAUAGUUCUUGGUAAUGCAAGAAGAAAUGCUUUACAGUCCAUGUUGGUUGGUGCCUUGGAUCUAAUUCAGAUACUCUCGUAAAUAACACUCGUGCAAGAUUUGUAGCAGAGUACUAUUAAAAAAAAAUAUUUAGUAUCUCUUUUAUUUUUCCCACACUUUUGUAGCUAACAAACAACUUUGAGA